This is a long non-coding RNA of Drosophila biarmipes, 670 nucleotides long. RefSeq lists it as uncharacterized. The transcript has 3 exons. Lineage: Eukaryota; Metazoa; Arthropoda; Insecta; Diptera; Drosophilidae. The record is from RefSeq and is a predicted model, not a curated record.
CUUUGAAAAAAAGAUCAAUAAUUACAAAAAAUUCAAUCAAAAUUUAAGCAAGUUUUAUAUGGUUAUUAUAAAGUUGUGUUAGAACAUUAUUAUAGAUGUUCUUGUAAAAAUUGUUUUCUCUGUACAGGGCAGAGUUUCCUGCUCUUUUUAUCGCAAAAUCGAUUUGCUGCUAAAUCUAAAUCGGUGAAUUUCCCGCAUAAUUGAUGUCGGGGCAGGACGGCCCAUCCCUUUCACUGGCUGCGGGUUAAUCUGCAUGUGGUGCGACUACUGCAGGCGGAGUGUCCUUGCUCUGGAUCUGAAUACAUUCGCACUCACAUCUCACAUCUGUAUCUGAGUACCUACGCCCGAGGUUCCGUCUGCACCAUGAACGCAAUCAGUGCCUAAUGAUCCGUACAGCAAUUGGAUUAGUGCCUGCCAUCCCGAAGGGAAAACUUGUCUGCUGAAGGACGCCGUAAAUCAGGACUGGGAACACUAACUACGAUGCCGAUUUACAUGUGGAAGAGGCGUAGAAUAGGCUGCUGAUGUUCAAACGAUUAAAUCACUUACCAUACUCAAACUAUUGUAAUCAAGGGAAAAAAGAGUUCCAUAGUUUUAAAUGGAAGAAAUGUAUUUAUAUGGUCACCUAAUUCAAAGAAAUUUAAUGUAAAGUCCAUAAAUCUUUAGAAAAACU